This 253-nucleotide ribosomal RNA is filed under the name uncultured bacterium. RNAcentral's name for it is "partial 16S ribosomal RNA". It matches the Rfam family "Bacterial small subunit ribosomal RNA", at positions 524 to 776 of the family's 1533-position model. The record is from RNAcentral.
UACGGAGGGUGCAAGCGUUAUCCGGAUUCACUGGGUUUAAAGGGUGCGUAGGUGGGUUGGUAAGUCAGUGGUGAAAUCUCCGAGCUUAACUUGGAAACUGCCAUUGAUACUAUCAGUCUUGAAUAUUGUGGAGGUCAGCGGAAUAUGUCAUGUAGCGGUGAAAUGCUUAGAUAUCAAGUGGAACACCAGUGGCGAAGGCGAGUCUCUGGACGAUUCCUGACACUGAGGCACGAAAGCCAGGGGAGCAAACGGG